RNAcentral lists this ribosomal RNA (323 nucleotides) under Panjange camiguin. Its description in RNAcentral is "partial 12S ribosomal RNA". The record is from RNAcentral. Lineage: Eukaryota; Metazoa; Arthropoda; Arachnida; Araneae; Pholcidae.
AAGACACCUGACUAAGGUAAUAAUACUAUAACCAAUAUAUAAUGGCAGUCCCUGUAAACUAAAGAAGCUCGCUUUAUAAUCGUAAAUACCCGUUAAUCUUCACUUUAUUUACAAAAUCUAUAUACCGCCGUAAAGAAUUAACACAUUAAAUAACCCAAACUCUCCUUUCCCAACUAAAAUCAGGUCAAGGUGUAAUAAAUAAUAAAGAAAAAGUAAGCUACACAUAAAAGUAAUUUAAGAAAAUAAUACACAAGUAAAAUAGAAAAAGAAUUUAUUCGUAAAUAAUAAUUAAAAUUUAAUAUAGACUAAAACAUCAGUGGUGU